GAUUAAAUGGCUGAGAAUAGGCAAUAGACUGUAAAUCUAUUUACAAGAAUUAAUUUCUUUUUAAUCA
Molecule: transfer RNA, 67 nt
Filed under: Silba sp. LW-2021
Lineage: Eukaryota; Metazoa; Arthropoda; Insecta; Diptera; Lonchaeidae
Description: tRNA-Tyr
Rfam family: tRNA
About the family: Transfer RNA (tRNA) molecules are approximately 80 nucleotides in length. Their secondary structure includes four short double-helical elements and three loops (D, anti-codon, and T loops). Further hydrogen bonds mediate the characteristic L-shaped molecular structure. tRNAs have two regions of fundamental functional importance: the anti-codon, which is responsible for specific mRNA codon recognition, and the 3' end, to which the tRNAs corresponding amino acid is attached (by aminoacyl-tRNA synthetases). tRNAs cope with the degeneracy of the genetic code in two manners: having more than one tRNA (with a specific anti-codon) for a particular amino acid; and 'wobble' base-pairing, i.e. permitting non-standard base-pairing at the 3rd anti-codon position.
Source: RNAcentral